GACGAACCUUGCUAACGUUAUUCGGAAUUACUGGGCGUAAAGGGUGCGUAGGCGGCGCGGUAAGUCGGGUGUGAAAUCUCGGAGCUUAACUCCGAAACUGCAUUCGAUACUGCCGUGCUUGAGGACUGGAGAGGAGACUGGAAUUUACGGUGUAGCGGUGAAAUGCGUAGAUAUCGUAAGGAAGACCAGUGGCGAAGGCGGGUCUCUGGACAGUUCCUGACGCUGAGGCACGAAGGUCAGGGGAGCAAACGGG
RNAcentral lists this ribosomal RNA (253 nucleotides) under uncultured bacterium. RNAcentral's name for it is "partial 16S ribosomal RNA". It matches the Rfam family "Bacterial small subunit ribosomal RNA", at positions 524 to 776 of the family's 1533-position model. The record is from RNAcentral.